RNAcentral lists this non-coding RNA (460 nucleotides) under Bacillus obstructivus. RNAcentral describes it as "bacterial LSU rRNA". It matches the Rfam family "Bacterial large subunit ribosomal RNA", at positions 1424 to 1901 of the family's 2925-position model. Lineage: Bacteria; Bacillati; Bacillota; Bacilli; Caryophanales; Bacillaceae. The record is from RNAcentral.
AACAGGUUGAUAUUCCUGUACCACCUCUUUAUCGUUUGAGCAAUGGAGGGACGCAGAAGGAUAGAAGAAGCGUGCGAUUGGUUGUGCACGUCCAAGCAGUUAGGCUGAUAAGUAGGCAAAUCCGCUUAUCGUAAAGGCUGAGCUGUGAUGGGGAAGCUCCUUAUGGAGCGAAGUCUUUGAUUCCCCGCUGCCAAGAAAAGCUUCUAGCGAGAUAAAAGGUGCCUGUACCGCAAACCGACACAGGUAGGCGAGGAGAGAAUCCUAAGGUGUGCGAGAGAACUCUGGUUAAGGAACUCGGCAAAAUGACCCCGUAACUUCGGGAGAAGGGGUGCUUUCUUAACGGAAAGCCGCAGUGAAUAGGCCCAAGCGACUGUUUAGCAAGGUGUCCGUGGUAGGAGAGCGUUCUAAGGGCUGCGAAGCUAGACCGUAAGGACUGGUGGAGCGCUUAGAAGUGAGAAUG